AAGACAGCAGGACGGUGGUCAUGGAAGU
This 28-nucleotide small nuclear RNA is filed under the name Arabidopsis thaliana (thale cress). RNAcentral describes it as "snRNA_12962". The record is from RNAcentral. Lineage: Eukaryota; Viridiplantae; Streptophyta; Magnoliopsida; Brassicales; Brassicaceae. RNAcentral also lists the same sequence under 1 other name.